Mustela lutreola (European mink) is the source of this 280-nucleotide long non-coding RNA. RefSeq lists it as uncharacterized. NCBI's taxonomy places the organism in Eukaryota, Metazoa, Chordata, Mammalia, Carnivora, Mustelidae. The transcript has 3 exons. The record is from RefSeq and is a predicted model, not a curated record.
AGGGGAGAUUAGGAUCAAUGGGGUGAGGCAGAUCAAGGACCCAGGACAGGAAGUAUAACAGGAGAAGGAGCAGAGAUCCACUGUGUACACCGCAGGAAAGGAGCUGCAAAAGCAGGGAAUUCACUGGACCUGCCAACAAGGCAAGAUCUGAAAAUCGUGCCUCUUUCCCUGGAAGCAGGAAAGCAAGGGCGCUUGCUCAUCUAACUACAGCCCCGGGAACAAACUGUCUAAACCAGGGGACAGGCAGACGAUUCAGACCAAGAUUCCAGCUAACUUUACU